CGGGGAUAAUACUCGAUAAAGGCGGGGGGAUAUAAAUCAUUCCCGCUUAAAGCUCCGGCGCUUCGGGAGGGGCCUAUGGCUUAUCAGCUUGUUGGCGAGGGUAAAAGCCCACCAAGGCUAUGACGAGUAACGGGUGUGAGAGCAUGACCCGUCUCACUGGGACUGAGACACUGCCCAGACUCCUGCGGGAGGCUGCAGUCGAGAAUCUUCCUCAAUGGCCGAAAGGCUGAAGGAGCGACGCCGCGUGCAGGAAGACGCCCCUCGGGGUGUAAACUGCUUUUAUGUGGGACGAAACAAUGACGGUACCACAAGAAUAAGGGGCUGCUAACUUCGUGCCAGCAGCAGCGGUAAUACGAAGGCCCCAAGCGUUAUCCGGAUUUAUUGGGUGUAAAGGGUCCGUAGGCGGGUUUAACGCAUCUCCUGUUAAACCUCAAGGCUCAACCUUGAGGCCGCGGGAGAGAUGGUUAAACUAGAGACCGGGAGAGGCACAUGGAAUUGCUGGUGUAGGGGUUAAAUCCGUUAAUAUCAGCAGGAACACCAAAUGCGAAGGCAGUGUGCUAGAACGGUUUCGCUCAGGGACGAAGGCGUGGGGAGCGAAUGGGAUUAGAUACCCC
RNAcentral lists this ribosomal RNA (614 nucleotides) under uncultured bacterium. RNAcentral describes it as "bacterial SSU rRNA". It matches the Rfam family "Bacterial small subunit ribosomal RNA", at positions 158 to 788 of the family's 1533-position model. The record is from RNAcentral.